RNAcentral lists this ribosomal RNA (540 nucleotides) under uncultured Geobacteraceae bacterium. RNAcentral's name for it is "bacterial SSU rRNA". It matches the Rfam family "Bacterial small subunit ribosomal RNA", at positions 9 to 526 of the family's 1533-position model. The record is from RNAcentral. Lineage: Bacteria; Pseudomonadati; Thermodesulfobacteriota; Desulfuromonadia; Geobacterales; Geobacteraceae.
GAGUUUGAUCCUGGCUCAGAACGAACGCUGGCGGCGUGCCUAACACAUGCAAGUCGAACGUGAUCCAGAGCUUGCUCUGGUGAAAGUGGCGCACGGGUGAGUAACGCGUGGAUAACCUACCCUGGUAUCCGGGAUAACAUUCCGAAAGGGGUGCUAAUACCGGAUAAGCCUACGGGCUCUUUGGAGCUUGCGGGAAAAGGUGGCCUCUAUUUAUAAGCUACUGUAUCAGGAUGGGUCCGCGUACCAUUAGCUAGUUGGCGGUGUAACGGACCACCAAGGCGACGAUGGUUAGCUGGUCUGAGAGGAUGAUCAGCCACACUGGAACUGAGACACGGUCCAGACUCCUACGGGAGGCAGCAGUGGGGAAUUUUGCGCAAUGGGGGAAACCCUGACGCAGCAACGCCGCGUGAGUGAUGAAGGCCUUUGGGUCGUAAAGCUCUGUCAGAGGGGAAGAAAUGAUAUAGUGCUAAUACCACUUUAUCUUGACGGUACCCUCAAAGGAAGCACCGGCUAACUCCGUGCCAGCAGCCGCGGUAAUAC